CUCAUCCCCAAAGAAACAGGUACCACAUGAUACUUUUUUUAAAAAAGGCAGGAGAUUCAAUCACAAAAAUGUUUAAAGUGUUACAACUUUUCCUAAUCAGACACCAAGCAAAAUGAUACCAUAUGAAGACGGACAAUUCUCAGCAGAACAACUGGGGAAAUGAAGCUGUUGAUGUUCUGAUGCUGUAAUGAGCUAGAUGUGGGCUAACAACCAGAAGCAAAAUCCAGCUCUUGUCCCAAGAUGUAUGACAAGAUGCGUGCUUAGGAACUGACCCGCACUAGCUGAACCUUGCCUGAGACAAUUUUUAACUGCUCCCUCAUGGUAUGAAGCCUACGCCAGAGGACUCUCCAGUUGCAUCAUUAAAUCACCCCAAGGAGUCACUCAAUGCCUUUUUUUUCCUCGGGGCCUGUUGUUUUGUUUUGCUGUAUUCCACUUUGCCCUGAAUAUUGACUAAGGGGACAUUGCUAGGAAAGAAAGCAACAUAAUGUGUUACAAAAGAAAUGAAAGCAAAUCAGGCAGAGAAUGCCAUACCAGUGUACAUCUGAGGCAAAAAUCACGUG
This is a long non-coding RNA of Rhineura floridana, 560 nucleotides long. RefSeq lists it as uncharacterized. NCBI's taxonomy places the organism in Eukaryota, Metazoa, Chordata, Lepidosauria, Squamata, Rhineuridae. The record is from RefSeq and is a predicted model, not a curated record. The transcript has 3 exons.